This 740-nucleotide long non-coding RNA is filed under the name Homo sapiens (human). Its description in RNAcentral is "non-protein coding lnc-OSR1-1:1". Lineage: Eukaryota; Metazoa; Chordata; Mammalia; Primates; Hominidae. The record is from RNAcentral.
CACAGCCUUCCUCUAAGAGCUUGGAGCAGAAAGCCAGGAUUUGGGAUCCGAAGCAGGACGUGCAGACCUACGAGGGGCUGCGGACGGAGGCACCGGAGGGCACUUCUCACCUCCGGGUGUGCCGGGAGGGGCACGCGGACCGAGCUUGCAAAUGCAGGAUGGGGUCCCAGUAGAUCUUUGCUCAUCGUCUUCCCAGGACCAGAAGCGAACGGCGGCAGAUAGUUGCUAGGAAUUUCGGAUUAUUUAAAAACAAACAAACAAACAAACAAAAGCCCUCAUCCAUCUGAGAGCAAGGACGUCUGGUUUGGGGCAGGGAAACAGAAACCCCGUGGCGAGAAGAAAUUCCUCCUCCGUUUGCUCUUUGGAAGGGUAAGCGUGUGCGUACUUUUAAAUGAGUAGCAGCAAACUUCUAACUGAGAAAAGAAAAACUGAAGGACUAAAAUACUCUUGGGCAAAGUGAAAUAAGGAUACUGUGGGUUUGCGAGUUUUCCAAGAAGGGGUCCCGAGAUGUGGCUUGCUCGCCAGCAGGGGGCACGUUUUCUUUAGGAUUGCGUCCCAGAAUCUCGAAACCUCGCAGCCGGACUCUCUCCGAGUCCCAUCGCCGGAAAUCGCUCUGCAGAUAAUAACCCUCCGGUGUCUGGAAAUGUUUAAUUACCGCGAACUCUCCUUCCUCCAGCGCCACCCGCCGCCGGUGCAGCCCGGAAGGACCCAGCGCCGCGGGUGCAGUAGGUGGCUCUAUC